This 443-nucleotide ribosomal RNA is filed under the name uncultured bacterium. Its description in RNAcentral is "partial 16S ribosomal RNA". It matches the Rfam family "Bacterial small subunit ribosomal RNA", at positions 338 to 795 of the family's 1533-position model. The record is from RNAcentral.
CCUACGGGUGGCAGCAGUGGGGAAUAUUGGACAAUGGGGGGAACCCUGAUCCAGCGACGCCGCGUGAGUGAAGAAGUAUUUCGGUAUGUAAAGCUCUAUCAGCAGGGAAGAAAGAAAUGACGGUACCUGACUAAGAAGCCCCGGCUAACUACGUGCCAGCAGCCGCGGUAAUACGUAGGGGGCAAGCGUUAUCCGGAUUUACUGGGUGUAAAGGGAGCGUAGACGGCGAUGCAAGUCUGAAGUGAAAGGCGGGGGCCCAACCCCCGGACUGCUUUGGAAACUGUAUGGCUGGAGUGCAGGAGAGGUAAGUGGAAUUCCUAGUGGAGCGGUGAAAUGCGUAGAUAUUAGGAGGAACACCAGAGGCGAAGGCGGCUAACUGGACUGCAACUGACGCUGAGGCACGAAAGUGUGGGGAGCAAACAGGAUUAGAUACCCGAGUAGUC